GUGCUUGCUUCAGCAGCCCAUAUACUAAAAUUGGAACAAUAUAGAGAAGAUUAGCAUGUCCCCUGCACAAAGAUGGCACACAAAUUUAUGAAGCAUUCCAUAUUUUU
This 107-nucleotide small nuclear RNA is filed under the name Phocoena sinus (vaquita). Lineage: Eukaryota; Metazoa; Chordata; Mammalia; Artiodactyla; Phocoenidae. The record is from RNAcentral. RNAcentral also lists the same sequence under 2 other names.